This 460-nucleotide ribosomal RNA is filed under the name uncultured bacterium. RNAcentral's name for it is "partial 16S ribosomal RNA". It matches the Rfam family "Bacterial small subunit ribosomal RNA", at positions 338 to 795 of the family's 1533-position model. The record is from RNAcentral.
CCUACGGGAGGCAGCAGUGAGGAAUAUUGGUCAAUGGACGAGAGUCUGAACCAGCCAAGUAGCGUGAAGGAUGACUGCCCUAUGGGUUGUAAACUUCUUUUAUAUGGGAAUAAAAUGUUCCACGUGUGGGAUUUUGUAUGUACCAUAUGAAUAAGGAUCGGCUAACUCCGUGCCAGCAGCCGCGGUAAUACGGAGGAUCCGAGCGUUAUCCGGAUUUAUUGGGUUUAAAGGGAGCGUAGGUGGAUUGUUAAGUCAGUUGUGAAAGUUUGCGGCUCAACCGUACAAUUGCAGUUGACACUGGCAGUCUUGAGUACAGUAGAGGUGGGCGGAAUGCGUGGUGUAGCGGUGAAAUGCUUAGAUAUCACGAAGAACUCCGAUUGCGAAGGCAGUUCACUGGACUGCAACUGACACUGAGGCUCGAAAGUGUGGGUAUCAAACAGGAUUAGAUACCCCAGUAGUC